This 517-nucleotide ribosomal RNA is filed under the name uncultured fungus. RNAcentral describes it as "eukaryotic LSU rRNA". The stretch from base 153 to 306 matches the Rfam family "5.8S ribosomal RNA". The record is from RNAcentral. Lineage: Eukaryota; Fungi.
GAACGCCCGGGCUUCGGCCUGGUUAUUCAUAACCCUUUGUUGUCCGACUCUGUUGCCUCCGGGUUGACCCUGCCUUCGGGCGGGGGCUCCGGGUGGACACUUCAAACUCUUGCGUAACUUUGCAGUCUGAGUAAACUUAAUUAAUAAAUUAAAACUUUUAACAACGGAUCUCUUGGUUCUGGCAUCGAUGAAGAACGCAGCGAAAUGCGAUAAGUAAUGUGAAUUGCAGAAUUCAGUGAAUCAUCGAAUCUUGGGACGCACAUUGCGCCCCCUGGUAUUCCGGGGGGCAUGCCUGUUCGAGCGUCAUUUCACCACUCAAGCCUCGCUUGGUAUUGGGCAACGCGGUCCGCCGCGUGCCUCAAAUCGUCCGGCUGGGUCUUCUGUCCCCUAAGCGUUGUGGAAACUAUUCGCUAAAGGGUGUUCGGGAGGCUACGCCGUAAAACAACCCCAUUUCUAAGGUUGACCUCGGAUCAGGUAGGGAUACCCGCUGAACUUAAGCAUAUCAAUAAGCGGAGGA